RNAcentral lists this long non-coding RNA (562 nucleotides) under Nicotiana benthamiana. RNAcentral's name for it is "long non-coding RNA (NBEN_LNC038819)". The record is from RNAcentral. Lineage: Eukaryota; Viridiplantae; Streptophyta; Magnoliopsida; Solanales; Solanaceae.
CCUCUUCUCUUACUUCCCUAGGAUUGAACCCUAGACGAGCACCUGUUAGUUUCAAGAACCCUAUAUUUCAAUAUAUUAAAGCAGAAAAUGGUAGGGUUUUGAUAAAAGUGUCACCUGAGUUCAUAAUUAAGCUUCUUACAAGGGGAAAAGAAGACGGAUCACAAGAUAAUGUUGCAACUACGACAAGUCCUACCUUACAAGAGGAAAAGAAGACGGAUCACAAGAUAAUGUUGCAACAACGACAAGUCCUAGUGAUGGUAAAUUUUUAUGUUACACACCUGUGUUGAAGAAACAUUAUGAACAAUUGGUUGGACCAUAAGAACAAGUUUGGUCACCUAAGCUUGAGACCAUUUCUGAUUACAAAAUUAGGUAUUCUCCUUGUAGGUUUAUAGGUUUGGAAUGGAAGCAGAAAGAAGAAUGAAAAGUUUUUCUUGUUGAUUUUGGUGUAUAGCAAUUAAGUAGAAGUUGAAGGCCUUGUAACAGAUCGAAACAAGUGAUCCAGACACAAAGUAAACACUGAAACAAAGACUGAACAGCAAAGAGUGAACCAGGGACUGAACAA